Molecule: ribosomal RNA, 433 nt
Filed under: uncultured bacterium
Lineage: Bacteria
Description: partial 16S ribosomal RNA
Rfam family: Bacterial small subunit ribosomal RNA
Source: RNAcentral
GACGAACGCUGGCGGCAUGCCUAACACAUGCCAGUCGAACGAGACCUUCGGGUCUAGUGGCGCACGGGUGCGUAACGCGUGGGAACCUGCCCUUAGGUUCGGAAUAACUCCCCGAAAGGGGUGCUAAUACCGGAUAAUGUCUUCGGACCAAAGAUUUAUCGCCUUUGGAUGGGCCCGCGUUGGUUUGGCUAGUUGGUAGGGUAAAAGCCUACCAAGGCGACGAUCCAUAGCUGGUCUGAGAGGAUGAUCAGCCACACUGGGACUGAGACACGGCCCAGACUCCUACGGGAGGCAGCAGUGGGGAAUAUUGGACAAUGGGCGAAAGCCUGAUCCAGCAAUGCCGCGUGAGUGAUGAAGGCCUUAGGGUUGUAAAGCUCUUUUACCCGGGAUGAUAAUGACAGUACCGGGAGAAUAAGCUCCGGCUAACUCCGUG